CAUCACAGAACUCAGUUCAUAACGAUUUAAUUUUUCGCCUUUUACUAAAGAUUACCGUGGACUGGGUUUAUAAAUGUGAAUAUUACAAAUUUUUGUAGGAAUCUUUUUAGAUUCC
RNAcentral lists this small nuclear RNA (115 nucleotides) under Ichthyophthirius multifiliis strain G5. RNAcentral's name for it is "U5 spliceosomal RNA". It matches the Rfam family "U5 spliceosomal RNA". Rfam says of the family: U5 RNA is a component of both types of known spliceosome. The precise function of this molecule is unknown, though it is known that the 5' loop is required for splice site selection and p220 binding, and that both the 3' stem-loop and the Sm site are important for Sm protein binding and cap methylation. Lineage: Eukaryota; Ciliophora; Oligohymenophorea; Hymenostomatida. The record is from Rfam by way of RNAcentral.